GGAAGAACAUCAUACACACACAUUAGCUUAUCAAUAUGGCAUGGCACACGAAGAGCAAUAAGGUGUUGAUAUGCUUGUGGCUUGUGAUGAUGCUUCUCUUGUCAUCCGGUAGAAAAUACAAUCAACCCACACAUGAUCUUUAGAACAGAGUGAAGCGUGUUAAUUUUAGCUGAUUUUUCUUGUUUGCUAUUGUAAGCAGAAGAGAUUGGAUCAGAUGCAUGCGACAAACAGGUUAGCAAGACAUGGCCGAAAUACUUACCAUGUGUUGUGAACGGCAAAUGCAACGACCCUUGCAAGAACGAGGGGUUCGACAGCGGCCGGUGCACGAAAUUUACUACAUGCUUAUGCUAUAGGAACUGCACCGGUGUACGGCGAUUGCUGUAGCGAUAUAUAUUUAUUGAAUAAAUAAAUCAAGAAGCUCCUUAGACAGAUUUGUAUGCUUUUAUUUUUAAGAAAAGAACUAAAGAAACACGACACCGGUUGAAAAGGCAGGACUCCAAGCGGUCGGCUCCAACUUAUCUUAUUGGUUUUCCUACUGCCUCGUAUUCACGCAUGCAUGACCAGGGCUUCAAACAUACAGUGGAUCUCCUAUUUUAUUUUUAACCAAGAACUAGUAAAAUGCCGUGCGCUACUACGGGAGCGUGAAUAUUUUAGUAGGUCGCUCCUAUUAAAAUAGGUUGUUACGAGUAACGUGUGAAAUUUUUAACAUGAGGAGGUGU
RNAcentral lists this long non-coding RNA (719 nucleotides) under Triticum aestivum (bread wheat). Its description in RNAcentral is "long non-coding RNA (TAES_LNC024280)". Lineage: Eukaryota; Viridiplantae; Streptophyta; Magnoliopsida; Poales; Poaceae. The record is from RNAcentral.